UUGCUUAGGACAAAGCUUGGUUGCGUUUA
Molecule: non-coding RNA, 29 nt
Filed under: Rattus norvegicus (Norway rat)
Lineage: Eukaryota; Metazoa; Chordata; Mammalia; Rodentia; Muridae
Source: RNAcentral